AGAGCGAACGCUGGCGGCAGGCCUAAAACAUGCAAGUCGAGCGCGUGUAGCAAUACACGAGCGGCAGACGGGUGAGUAACACGUGGGAAUAUGCCCUUUGGUUCGGAAUAACUCAGGGAAACUUGAGCUAAUACCGAAUAAGCCCUUACGGGGAAAGAUUUAUCGCCGAAGGAUUAGCCCGCGUCCGAUUAGCUAGUUGGUGAGGUAAUGGCUCACCAAGGCGACGAUCGGUAGCUGGUCUGAGAGGAUGAUCAGCCACACUGGGACUGAGACACGGCCCAGACUCCUACGGGAGGCAGCAGUUAGGAAUCUUGGACAAUGGGCGAAAGCCUGAUCCAGCCAUGCCGCGUGAGUGAUGAAGGCCCUAGGGUUGUAAAGCUCUUUCGACGGGAAGAUAAUGACGGUACCCGUAGAAGAAGCCCGGCUAACUCGUGCCAGCAGCCGC
RNAcentral lists this ribosomal RNA (445 nucleotides) under uncultured bacterium. Its description in RNAcentral is "SSU rRNA". It matches the Rfam family "Bacterial small subunit ribosomal RNA", at positions 26 to 518 of the family's 1533-position model. The record is from RNAcentral.